CCCUUCCAGUGGAAGCCGAUGGUGGGGAGGUCGAGGAUCUCGAUUUGGAGUGGGAGGAAGUCGAGAGUUGCGUCGAUGAUAGAGAGGUGUUGAGCUUGUUUGUUGAUGCUCUCAAUGAUGAUGGAUCCAUUUCUGUAUCUUCUACACCUAUUAUUGCAGAUGAAGGCGAAGAAGAUGCGAGUGUUGAAGUGGUUGGAGAUUUUGGGAACCUGGAAUGGGAGGUUUUGUUGAAUUCAGAUAAUUUAGUGGCAACGGCAGGAUUGAAUCAUGAGCUGGAAACUUACUUUGAUGAUGAUGAUGAUUACUUAUAUUCUGCAGAAUACGAGACCAUGUUUGGGCAGUUUACUGAGAAUGAGAGUUCUUUAGUGGGAGGGUCCCCGGCUUCUGAAGCAGUGAUCCGGAAUCUACCGAAGUUGGCUUUGACUCAAGAGGAUGUGGAUGGAAAGGAUGGGCUUUGUCCGGUCUGCAAGGAUGAAUUUUCGGCCGGGAACAUUGCAACGCAGCUGCCUUGCAGCCACAAAUACCACACCAAUUGUAUUUUGACGUGGCUGCACGUGAAGAAUACAUGUCCUGUGUGCCGUCAUGAAUUACCUGCUGAUGGUGCAGAAUCAUGAGCAGGGAAGGACCGGGAGAGCACGGAUUGGCCUCUACUCAUGAGUCAGGGCCAACAUUGUUUUGUAGAAGUCUGGACUGAGUAUUAAGUUGUGUAAAAAUGUAGAUAGUGGCAUAUCAGAGACCCUCUUAUCUUGUACUUGUAGUGAGGAUGAUUGAGUUCUUCAGAAGUUCAACAUUUUUUGGUAAGGGCAAAAGGGUGUUUUAUACCUCAAGAACCCGAAUUGUUAACUGUUGGGAGAAUAAAACUUGAUGUAAUGGUAGGUUUUCUUCAGACAACUCUGUGUAGUCUAUGUUGUCUCCAAGUCUUCGCCACUGCUUUUUUCGGCUGGUGUUCUUGAAGGGCACGGCUUAUGAAGUUGUAAGUUUGUAUUAUUCAUGUUAGCAUGUCUUUAUAGGAACCACUUUGACCUGUUUGCCUCGUUAUGGUUUGCACAUCAGAUGAUCUGUGGCGAGUCACUGCAGGUUUUGAUAGUUUUGUUUGAAUGUAGUCCCCCUAAGGCUUCAGGGGCUGUAUAAUUUUCUGCUGCUAUUCCUAUAAUGCUUUAUGCCCCUUGUUCUUUGCUAAAUAGAGGUGGUAUGCAUCCUUGGACAAGAUAGAUUGCUUGUACAAGUUAUUAACAGUUUGGGUUACUCGCCAUUUGAAUCUCAAAUCCAUCCAAAAAUUCUAUAGCUGUGUUCGGUGGGCUAGAUAUAACUUUCUAUGCACACGGUCUUCCUCUACCUACAAGUUUCAGUAUUUGGUUUGGACUUUCUAAUAUGAUAUUAGAGUCGGGUUCUUCUCCAAUUUAUUUCGCUGUGAUCCCCCCCACGGCGGUCGAAUUCUAUGCCUCUGUUCCUAAUCUGAUUUUUGCAUGAGAGGAGGUGUUAAAGUAUUUCAUAUUCUUUUGUCUAUUAGAUUUAUAUGUUUUUAUAAUGCAAACAAUCUCUUUUCACCUAUACGUCUAAACUUCUAGAAUUUGACUUUCUAAUUAAAAUGAAUUUCCAUGUUGUCCUAUAUAACCGGUCCCACCCCUCCUGCCAGCUGCAUUCCCCCUCGUGUGUGAAUAUGGUAUGAUGAGGGGAUGCGCAAUCAGUGAGCCAACCCCAAAGAUUACAAAGGCGGCUUUCCACGGAACUAUGAAGCACUUCUGUUUGGUCAGGCGCAAGUCGCAAGAGAUAAGGUCUCCGUUGCCUUCUUAGUCAAUCCGACUCAGAUGCUAAGCUGAUAAGGUGUUUGAUGAUAGUCCUCAAGUCAAUUCCCCACGGUCGAGGUGGAAAAUUUCUCCCUCCAUGUGAUAUAAAUAUGCGUCCCGGCAAUAGGUCUGUGGCUUAGGAGCUACUCCAACGACAGAGCAUCGUCAUAAACAUGAGAUGGGGAAGUUGGACAUCCAAUUUCCUCACCUUGCUCAACAAAACAUGCAACCUCACCCAUCGCAAUUUUAUCAAUCUCUCAGCAAUAACAUCCUCCCGACCCCAGCCGCAGUCGCAACUACCGGCGCCGUCCUCUCUAGACCUCGAGAUGGGUGGGAGGGCACAUGACGCUCCGCCUAUUGCACUAGAGGCAAAGCAUGACCUGGCCUGGGAGAAGAUCGUCGUCUCAUUUUGCUUGGCAUCGGCCACAGAACUAGCCGUGGCAUCGAUCCAGAAGGGACAUCACUUUCCUCCGAUGUAUUGUUUAUACUCGGCGGUGGUCAUAUUAGCCUUUACUUUUCUCUUUGUAGGCAAAUACAUCAGAAGCGAUACCAAGUACCUGACGAUAUCCCAUGCUCUUCAGCACAUUAGCAUAUUCUUUGUGGCGACCGCCUUCUUUGUCGCCAUGACAAUUCCAUUCCAUUUUUGGCUCAAGUGUGGUGCUUGGGCCAUAUAUGCCACUGCGAUUUUGGCCAUAAUGGCUUGUAGAUUCUCUUGAACUUCUCUAAUUCUAUGAAAACUCAAAGAGAUAGGUGGGGGAACAUAUAUAUAUAUAUAUAGAUGCAAGGGAUUUCAUGUAUCAAUAAUAUAUUCUAAUGUAGUCUUUCGAGCAAUCAGAUAGAGAGUUAGUUAGCCCCGAUCGCUCAGGAUUGACCUAUAGCAGCUUGUAAAGAAUAACGUCUAAGCUCGAUUGUGCAUUGAGAUCCCAAUCCAAUCCAUAGAUAUGCAUCGAAAUUUUCUCCUUGUGAACACUUUUCAUUCGUAUUUCUCUCUUAAGGAAAAUUUAAGCACGACUCUUCCACCUCUCCCCAACGCUGCUAAAUUGAAUUUCCGGGUGAUGUUUGGGCCUGGUGGGCCAAGCACUUGCCUAAAUCAACCUGAAAGGUAUUAGAGGUCUGUGCACUUCAUGGGCCGGCCAAGCCCAUCAACAUCGGUUGCCUCCCUCCCUCUUGAGAUGUCGUGAAUACAGGACAGCUUUCACAGCUUCCACCGUCUUUUGGUCCAAAGUAGGUCUGCCGCAAUUGGAAAAAUACCAUGUUCAUAUUGCAUUCACUAGACAUGGUCAACGGGCGAGCCGAAUGACAUGUCCCCGUAAAACCUAGACCUGCACGAUUCAAAAGACAGCUCUAUUUUCCUCUGUCUGGUCAAGGGAAUUUUCUUCCAACAACACCUUUCAUCGGAGGGUUUCGGGUUAUGAACGUUGUUCUAGUGCAAACUUAACCAAAUCAAAUGCCGCCGAUACAUCUUAAUAUGUGUAAACCCACCAAUCAAAAGAUUGGACGCAAAGCACGAUCCUUUUAGUAAAAUUUAAAUUGGGAUGGAUAAGAGAAAUAUUGACAGACGCCCAUUUAUUUAUGUUUCGAAUUUAGUUGGACCUACUAAGGUGCCGCUGCUAGGACAUGAAUCAUGAUUCGGUCUCAAGGCUCACCUCCAUGUUAUGGUACCACCCCUCUCAAUUUCAAAUAGAUUGGUCUACGUUGCAUUUAUGGAAGAGCUUUGUACCAAUUGAAUCUGAUUGAAGGAAAACGAACUGGGGGACUAUGAAAGUGAGGUUUGCACAUCCACAUUCCACACAUAUUUGAUUGGCCAGGAUAACGCAGGAUAACGUGUGAUGCUUUCAAUUCAGCUGAGAUAAAUCAUCUCAAUAUAUUAUUGGAAUAAUAGCACAAAUAAUUGAUGAACUUUAAUUUAAUGCGCAAUGUCGUUCUUAAAUUUUUAAUUUGUAUAAUAUGGUUUAUAAACUUUGGUCCAAUGUACAAUGUUAUCCAUAAGUUUUUUUUUAUUUGUUUAAUAUAAUCCUUGAACUAUUAAUAAAUGUUCAAUAUAGUCCAUAAACUAUAUGAAAAUGUUUAAAAGUUCAUAAUAUAAGUUGAAUAUUGGAUCAAAGUUUAGGAGUUAUACUGAAUAAAUUAAAAUUUUAUGAACCACAUACUAAGUCUAAACUUAGCUCGUGCUCUCUCAAGUCCAUACCAAUUUGCGACUUAGGUUUAAAUAUUUAGUAUGCAAAAGAUUAUUAACUAAGAGUCGACACUAAUCAAUUUACAAUAGGUCAAUUAGACACCUAUGCAAAAUAAUUGGAGAAUUAUUUUACUCAUACGAACUAGAGACUUUAGGUACGGGGACUUAAUUACACAAGACUUUUCUAAUGCCUUUUCAAUACCUUUCUCUUUUUAUUUUUAAAAAAAUAUUUUGCAAGCAGCUUGAAUUAAUUUUAACUCACUUCCCUAACAUGUAAUAUGAUUAGUGCGCAAAUUACCAAUUCAACACCCAAAUAAAGCAAUAAAUAAAUUGCAAGACUUACCUCAUAGCAACGAAAAUAUCUACAAUGUUAGCUCAAAAUUCACCUCAAAAGUGAUUUGCAAUCACUCAAUCUUUUUUUGAUUUUUUUUUUGUUUAAGGAAAUCUAAUCUACGUGCAAUGCAAUUUAACCAAAUGAACUAAGUCUAAUGACGGACAAUUUCUAAUUAAAUGGACUUAGUAACAAUCACUAAAUGUCAUGCAUCUCAUGAACCUAGUUCUAUAUAACAUGCGCAUGAUAUUUUUGUAUUUUUUUUUAUAAAAAUUCGUAAUUAAAAAUGACUAACAAUAAAAAUAUAACUAAAGUCAGAUGUUAUCUAUUUUAAAUUAGGAAAUAGAGUAAUCUGAAUCCUAUCUUAACUUAGAAAUUUAUCUCGACAUGCAAUUUUAAUUCAAAAGAUAUUAUCUAACCUAGAUACCAUUUAAAAAUGCAUUAAAAAAAAAUCUAACUAUUCUAUCAUGCAAUUUUAUCUAGGAAAAUCAAUUCUAAUCUACAUGAAAUGCAAAUGCAAUUUUUUUUUAAAAUUUUUUGGGAUAAAUAAAGCAAUUAAAAGAGAAGCACCAAAUCAUUUAUGGUCAUCAAAGAUAUUAUCCAUUGUUCGAAUUUGGAAACGAUAUCUAAUCAAUUUAAUUAUUUCGCUAAUAAAAUUGAUAAAUUGAUCUUAAGCUUUAAAGAUCAAGAUAUCAAUUAUUCUCGCUCUAAAGCCUUAUAAAUUGAAUAAAAAAAUCGGUGUGCGGUUACGAAUUAUGCAAUAAGCCCUAAAUGGAAAUACACCUAUCAUAUGCAACUCCUACUAACAAAAGAAAUCAAAAGAUUCUACAACACCCAUAUUCUUUACAUAUUUUUUAAAUAAAAUGAGUCGUAAGUCUUUUGUUAGAGGAUUAACCAAUAUGGACUUAGUUCUAAUAUUCUCAAUUACAAUGUCUCCCUUUUUUACCAAAUCUUUAAUAGUAUAAUAAUACCACAAAAUUCAAUCGGGAAAUCUAGGAAGACUUGAAGAUUGCAAGCUAUUUGUUUCCUAAUAUAUUUCCUAGAUUUGGGUUUUAAAUUUGAUAAUAUCUUUAUGGUGGAAUUCAUUUCCUAUUAGGUUUAGGAAAGUGGGGAGAUCUAUUUAUUUCAGCAUUAUACCUUGUACUCUUGUGAUACGCUCAAAAUAAGAAAUCGUCUCUCUCUCUCCCGUGGACGUAGGCGGAUCUUUCGCCGAACCACGUAAAUAUCCGUGUUCUUAAUUAUUCUUGUUUACUUUUCUCAUCUAGUUAGGGUGAGAUAUUGAAAAGCAUGUAUUAGGCAAUAAAUUUAAAUAAGAUAAUUACCUAAUUCCGCAAAUAAGGGCGCGUUUGUUUGCGUUUCUGUUUAAAAAUUGUUCCAGGAAACAGAAAUAAAAAAAAGUGUUUCUGUUCCUGGGAACAAUUUCUGAACAAAAAAACGCGUUUGGUAACUGUAUAAAAUUUCUGUUUCUGGAAUAGAAAAAGAACAGAAACACGUUUGGUAAUUGUUAAAAAAUUCUGUUUCUGGAAUAGAAAAAGAACAGAAACACGUUUGGUUAUGUACAAAAUUGCUGUUCCAGUAAUUGGGCAUUACUACUUCCACAGCUAAAGCUAAAGAUGUUCCUACAGCUUUUUCUCGAUGAACAAACAAAACUCCCAAUGUAUGUAGAUUGCCUAUUGCCGAAAUAGACCAAGGGUCGCCUCAAUCGUUUCCUCUUCCCAAUAUUUUCAGCUUCCAUGACAAAGAAUGCAAGAGCUAGAACUGCAGAGAACAAAGGCCCCUCCCCUAUUGAAGUAUCGACUUCAAGAAAAACGUUGUCCCUUGAAGGGAAAUGACAAAUAGCAUGCAUUAGCCUCAUAAGCGCCGGCAAAAUUCGUAAUGCAAAACAGAAUUUAGUAAUGAGGCGCUUAUUUCAAUCUGAAUGAGUGCCGAUCUUGUGGCCUUACCUAUUUCGUUGGUACCAGUUUUGGACCUUGAAAGCCUACAUAUCUUCUAUUAAAAGGAGAGGGGAAAGAGGAAGCAUGAAAAGACAGAAUACAUUCAUAUGCAGUGUUCAGUAUAUCAUUUCAGUCCGGAACAAGGCCUAGAUCUGGUCCCCUAUGCAAAAUAUGCAAUCAAAUUGAAGCCAGCUACGCGAGAGUUCUAUGAUGAACAUCUUCGGUCCCACUUCAGACCACAAUGUGAAAUAGCAUCAUUCAGCUUCUCUUUUUUUUUGGGGGAGGGAGGGAGGGAGGAGGGGGCUCAAGGGGAGAGAGAUCAUCCAUUCAAUCAAGAGCAUCUUCAAGCUCUCAAAAUAGCCAUACAAGCCAUAGUUUCCUUGUACAUUUGGUGACAACUUUUCUCGACAAGAUCAAGCAGCUUUCCCAAAAUUUUUGCCCACAAGUUCAAGAUGUCAUUGCUGUCUUUUGUCAUCUGUUCCAGAUGAGUCCCAUUGACCGGUCUAUCUUUGCCACCAAGGAGUUGGAAACAACCAUGUAGGAGAGAUGCUUCUCAGCUUCCUAAAUUGAUAAUAUAGAAUUAACAGGCCAUGCUGAUAGGAUAUCAUCCAAGCUUGUAUAAAUAUCAUCAUAUCGUCUAUCAUCCAAGCUUGAUUUAAUUAGUUGAGGCAUGUGAUUUUGAUUAAAGCCCUCUACAAUAGUGACAACAGAACCCCAAAAAACUGAGCUCUUCUCCUUGAGUGAAUCAUACAACAGUGGUAACACAACCCAAAAAAAACAGAGCUCUUUUCCUCAAGUGAAUCAUCUAUGCAGAAUUUCUAAACACAUUAAGAAAGCUCUAGUAGCGAGAUAUACUUUUGUAACACAUGCAGUGGUGAGUGUUGAUACUAGCAAUAUAGCAGAGCUCCUCCACCCUUCAAAAGCGCAUUAGAAUUUCAGGCUCCGUGGGACAAGAAAUGGUUUCAUGAUGCCAGACAAUGACACUUAUAGCCCCAACAAAUAUAUUAGAAGAAAUCGACUAAGCUGAGAGUACCCAUAUUUGUCAGUCAGAAAUUCAUGACAAGCCCUCAGCUUUCAAUGCACCAGAAACUCUUUUUCACUAAUUCGGAACUUAUAUCCAAGUCCAGUAAGCAUGCCCCAAUCAGGGAUUGAAGGCAGGUAGGUUGACCAGGCUAAAUGAGGGGUCUAGGCAACAAUUCAAAAAGAUUGACAUUGAUAUAGAAUAUAAACAAAAUGUUCAACACAAUCAGGCCUAGAUGCUGAGGCAUAACAGCUCUGCAAGUCUCUUCGAGGUAAUCCUCGAGUAAUACUUUGAAAUGAAGAUAAUAUUCUGCAGAAAAUAGAUUGAGUCACAUCCGAAUGAUGAUCCGAAAAGAAGAAAAAUGACAGUUCUGCAAGUACCAAGUUCAACGAUUCUCUGUCUAAGAACUUCUGCUGCCUUCUCAACAGGUGGACCUUCCAGCAUGUUUUUCUCAUUCUCAAAUUCAUCUUUGAAAGUACUCCAAAAAGCAGGCCAUCGGAUAACCUCCAACUUCAAUUGUUUCAGAAGCAACCUGCGUUCAAAUAUUGAAGGCAUGGUCAACCAAUUCUACAGCACAUUACUGUGAUAUUUCAAGAUGUACAGCCAAUUACCCACAACAAUUCAUAGAUGGUACCUCAAUUGGAAUUUUCUGAGAGAUUUGUAUCCUCUAAAGAGGCACUAAGAAGGCUUGACGCAUAGGAUCAUGUGGUGAUAGAACCAAGCACCAGCAGAUUUUCCCUGGAAUCUACAGUAAAUUAAAUCGCAGAAUCAACAGCUAAUCCUUGAAACACACAGUGAAGACUUAACAAUGAAAGAGCCUCACCAGUGUACACUGCUCCGGGUUUCCCUUCACCAAUGUCCACUGCUCUGGGUUUCCUUUCACUGAUGGAAUCUCAACUAUUGCCUUGUAGCAUCGACAUAUCUCAAGUUAAUCAUUGUUGGGCAAGCAAUACCUAUACCUACAUCGUUAACCACAUAAAUGCAGGGUAAACUGAGAUGCGAGUACAAAUCUAUCAAUUACAUCUGGAACGUCAGAGUUUGCACUAAAACUAGAAAGGAACAAGAGAAUGUGCCGUGGUUUGAACCACGACCUGAACACUAGGUGGCACUUGAUCGGCAAAAAACAUCAGUUAAAAGAUAGUGGGCACAUCACUAGAAAAAGCAGAACACCAAUUUACCAUAUCAUGAGUCAUAGCAUAUCCAUUUCAACUCCAGAAGUGAUGAAAUAUCAGCUAGUGCUUCUUCCACAAUGCUUUCACCUUCUUUAGGCUUUUUUUUCUCUUCGGAAGGAAUUGCAUCAAACAUUCUGGGGCUGAUCUUCCUGGAAAGGAUAUGUGCUGUGCACAGACAUAAUCCUGGCGAUCUAAGCACAAACGAACCUGCAAAAUCCAUCAAUCAGAAAACCAAUCAUAGUAAUAGUGCACAAAAGGCUAAACAAAAAACCCUUACUUGUUAAAAUAUGGAGGCUCUGGCGUCGCCGAGCCCGAGCAGCAGCGAAGCUCGCUGCUCUGCUCUGGCGUCGCCGAGCCCGAGGAGCAGCGAAGCUCGCUGCUCUGCUCGCUCGAGCCGAGCCCGAGCAGCAGCGACGCUCGCUCGAGCCGAGCCCGAGCAGCAGCGACGCUCGCUGCUCUGCUCGCUCGAGCCGAGCCCGAGCAGCAGCGACGCUCGCUCGAGCCGAGCCCGAGCAGCAGCGACGCUCGCUGCUCUGCAGACGAGCUGCUGUCGCAGAUCUGGGGAGCAACGCUCGCCCAGAUCUGCGAGACUCGCUCGAGCAAGCGGCUCGCAGAUCUGGGCAAGCGAUUCCUCGAGCGAGCCCUAACACUCGAGCUCUCGCCGAAGUGAAGACAAUCAGUGAAGGAGGAGCAGUGACGACGUUUACCUGGUGAAGGAGCAGCGGCUGGAGGAGGCGCUCGUCGGAGACAGGCGCCGGAGAAGACGAUGGAUUUCUCUGCUCGCAGGAGGAGGCGCUCGUCGCAGGGGGAGACGCUCGUCGCAGGUCGGAGGAGGAGAAGCUCGUCGCUCGUCGCACGUCGCCGGAGGAGAAGCUCUUCGCCCGUCGCUCGUCGCUUGUCGCAGGUCGCAGGAGGAAGCUCGUCGCGGGGGGGAGAGGAGGCCUGUUCGAGCACAAAUCAGAAAUAAAAAAGGAACACAAUUUUGUUCCUUUUUUGUUUCCGAUUUGUGUUCCAGAAACAAGAAACAAGUUUUUCUUGUUUCUUGUUUCUGUUUCUUUUUUGUUCCUGGGAACAAAAGAAUAAAAAAGGAACAGAAACGCACACAAACGCGUUCCUGUUCCUUUUUUGUUCCCAGGAACAAAAGAACAGAAAUUUCUGUUCCCAGGAACAGAAAUAAAAUCCAACCAUGCAGGCCAUAAUAUUACCAAAUUUGAACUCAAUGGAAUUGGUUCGAUGGAUGACCGGCGGCGGCUCACGGGCGAGGCUUGGCACAAUGAAGAAAUGCUAUGACACCAAGGGUUGCUAGACGGGUGGUGCAGAUGUGGGAGGAGCGUCCAAGGGCUGCCACCUGCAAGUUCUCUACAUUGGACUUUGAUCCAAACAAGAACCAACGACGUGAUUCACGGUGACCAGCAAAGCUACGGCGAUGCAUAGAACAGCAUGAUGCUUGCUAAAGUUCUUGCAAGGGUCGACUUGAACAGCUGUGCGAUGUUGGAAAGAGUUGCAAGGAAAAGUUCAGGUGCAGCAGAUCUGCUGGCUGAUCGCGGCUGAGGGGUGGCUGAGGUGCAGUGGCCGACCCGGAAGAGCAGCAGCAGGCGUCGAGGUCGUUGCGGCUUCAGUAGGCGUCGAGCAGAGGGACAGCAGCGAGGUAGCAAGGCGGGCGUUGACGCUGGGUCGCGGUUGUUGGCGUUGCGAGGGAGCUCGAGCGGCGGUGGCAGAGGGUGCAGGCGGAGGCGUCGACGCUCGGAGGGCUGCAGGCGAGACGGGGCACGGCGAUGACUGGCGGAGACGCGGCCAGGAGCAGCAGCGCAGAGGUGCCAAGUCAUCGGGGAUCGGCACGGCGGGGCGGCAGUGCGAGCUCGCGGGCGAGGGGAACCCUGGUGGUGGCGUGGCACAAGCAGCAGAGGAAGCGUGGGCCGGUGCGGGGGCUUACGCGGCGGUGGAGCGGCGACCGGCUCAAAUCUGCCGUCGUCGGGGCGCUCGAGCGGGCAAAUCGGGACAGCGGUGGUGUCGCGGGGGAAACGAGCGGUGGUGGAGCGUUCGAGGCUGGCUACCGGACGGGGUUGGCGCGGCGGCAACGACGUAGGGGUGCGGUGGCCGGCUGCACGAAGAAGAAGAACAGUGCCCUUUUUUCUUCUCAAAAGCCUUCUUUUCUUCUUCUUUUGUUUUUGUUUUUGUUUCUUUUUUACCUCCCAAGGAACGAAGAAAAGCCUCCAUGAAAGAGCUUCUCUCGGUGUUGAAUUUUACCAAGCCCCCUUUCGACAUGAUAAAAAAAACCCUUUUAUAGGUCAAGGAUUAUGGUUUUAUUUUCCUCUUCAAAUCAACAUCCAUAAAAAAAAAAUGCCCAAACGCAGUAUAUCUUUUCAUUUUCCACAUCUCUUAUGGAUUUCCUUUGCAAAAAAUGAAUAUUCUCCACUGAUUUUCAAAAUUGCAAUAGGACUUUUUCUCAAAUUUGAAAUCUCGCAAAGAUGAGUUUAUAAUAUCUCCUCGAGCAUACGGACUUGGGCCAAUUUGCUCUUCUAGCGAGUUUAGUCCGACUUGCAAAAUUAAAAUUUAGAACUAUCAAUUCAAACCCAUCUGUCACCAAUAUAAUGCAAAUGCAAUAAUAACAAAUAAAUGCACCUAAAAUUAUAUGCAAUUAAUUAAUUAAUUUUUUUCUCAGGGGUUAAGAAUUAAUCACUAAUUUUUAUACAAUAAAUAACUAAACGAAUCACCAAAAUUUAGGUAUUAACGACUGCCCCUUUAGCUACCUCUCUUUGAAGGUGAGCUCAUAGAGGUUGCUUUCAAAAACAAACUGAGACAUAAAUUUUGAUAAUGCACAUGCAUUGAAUGAUUUUGAUGAAAAUUGAGAUUGAAAAACAUUGAUGAAAAUAAUUAAGAUAUCUAGAUCAAGACUGAGAUGUCAAGAUUUUGGAACUCGAAAUACCUAAAUCUAGACUAAGGAAUAACGAGAAAGAUCAAAAAACAUUCACAUCCAAAGUGAAAUGUUUAGAUAAAAAUAAUUAAGACAUCUAAAUCAAGACUGAGAUGUCAAGAAUUUGGAAACUCGAAAUACCUAUAUAUAUUGGUAAAAUCGAAAUACCAAUAUUUAGACUAAGGUAUAAUGAGAAAAAUCAAAAAAUAUUCACAUUUAGAGUAAAAUGUUUAGAUGAAAUUAAUUAAGACAUCCAGAUUCAGACUGAGAUAUCAAGAUUUUGGAACUUGAGAUACCUAGUCUAAGGUAUAACAAGAAAUAUCGAAAAACAUUCACAUCCAAAGUGAAAUGUUUAGAUGAAAAUAAUUAAGAUAUCUAAAUUCAGACUGAGAUGUCAAGAUUUUGGAACUCGAAAUAUCUAGAUCUAGACUAAGGUAUAAUGAGAACGAUAAAAAAAACAUUCACAUCCAAAGUGAAAUAUUUAAAUGAAAAUAUUUUGUGAGAUGUCAACAACAAAUUGAAAGAUUUUGGUGAAAUUCACAAACUCUCAAUUUUUGAAAAGAAACCCGAGCUAUAGAAGCACGCCGAGUCAAUAAAAAGGAUUCUGGGCUAUGGAAGCACGCCAGGUCAGGAACUCUGGGCUAUGGGAGCACACCGUGUCAAUUAAAAGAGACAUCGGGUUAUAAAAGCAUGUCGGACUCUGGGCUAUGGAAGUACGCCAGGUCAAUAUAAAGGAACUCCGGACUAUGAAAGCGCGCCGGGUCGAUAAAAAGGACUUUGAGCUACAAAAGCACGCCAGAUCAAUAUAAAGGAAAUUCGAGCUACGGAAGCAUGUCGGUUCAAUAAAAGAGACUCUGGGCUACGAAAGCAUGUUAGGUCAAGAACUCCAAGCUACGGAAGUACGCCAGGUCUAUUAAAAGAGACAGCGAGUUACAGAAGCAUGCCAAGUCAAUAAAAAUGGACUCUAGGCUACAAAAGCACACCAGGUCAGGAACUCCAAGCUAUAGAAGCACGUCGGAUCCAUUAAAAGAGACAUCGAGCUAUGGAAGCACGCUGAACCAAUAAAAAGGACUUUGGACUACAGAAGCAUGCCAGGUCAAUAUAAAGGAAAUAUGGGUUAUAGAAGCACGCUUGGUCAAUAAAAAGAGACAUCGGCUACGAAAGCACGACGUGUCAAUGAAUGGGACUCUGGGCUACGAAAACACACUAGGUUGAUAUAAAGGGGGACAUCGGGCUAUAAAAGCACGCUGAGUCAAUGAAAAUGACAACUGGGCUACGAAAGCACGAUAGGCCAGGUCAGUGAAAAUGGCUUCGGGCUACGAAAGCACGCCAAAUCUCAAGGUUUCAAGGAGUAACUUGAAUGUCAAGUGUUACUUGAUCUUUAGGGAAAUAUUAUCUGCCAAAUAUGAUUAGAGCAAAAAUUGAUAUGCAUUCAACAAAGAGGUAGACAAUUUGAGCUACUUUAAAAUGCACAUUUCAAUUCAGUGAGGUUUUCAUCAAUUCAAUCAAGGUUUAUGUAUGAUGACUUUAUCAUAUUUGCAUCACCCCAAAUUUCCACAGAAAAGAAUUGUCGUUCAAGACAAUGGCAUGGAUUUCUUAAGAAUACUAAAUGAGAGACUUUUCACUCACUCUCAUUCAGAAUGGCUGUUUUAGGAGAAUCACUCUAUCUCACUAUCAUCAUACCAAUAAGGGUCCGAGUAUUAUCGCAAGUAGUACAACCUUACCAAUCUGAGAGGUCUUUAAUAGGGACCAUAAUGUUGGCUUGGUCAAUGGCUUAAUAAAGGGGACUCUUUGAGUCAAGGCUAUUGAAGGAACAAUUCAACAAUUAUCUCCGGGUUUACAAGUCAAGAACCCUGUAAAAUGAGAAAGCAAUAAUCUUGUUCGCACUUCUUCAAGUGAUGCUUAUAAACAUAUGAAUUCCUAUGUUAAUUCAAAUGCCAUAAUCUGAAAAGACUUUGUAAGGGACGUAUAUAGGCUGGGUUCAUGGGUUGAGAAACAAAAUGAUCAUUAGGCUCAAGGUGUGUGUAAAGGGUGAGAGUUGAUGAACAUCUUGGCAUUGUCGCCGGUCUUCUUCACUAGUUAUUAUCUUGCCAAUGUGCUUCAUUAACCGUAAAAACUCGGUAUUUGUGCUCUUUGAAUACUGCUUCAUUAGGGAUACAACCUUUUACAACCAAUAAUCACUUAUCUUGACUCUCUUUCUUUCAUCUAUGGGCAUCGGCCUUACUUUUACCAAGUACACCGCUUUUUCAUGUCCCUAGUUUUCAUUCAUUUUUUCUUUACUUAUUUUUUAUGGGCAUUGGCCUUGCUUUUAUUAGGCACACUGCUUUUUCAUGCCCUUUGUUCUAUUUUGAAUGAUUAUAUGGUGCUUUUAACAUUUGGACCUUUGGGAGGUUUUCGUCUUCUGUCAGCACUUCAGACCAUACUGUUUGAACAAUUGCUUUUUGCCUUACCUCGGUGUGGGGAAUGAUAACCUAUGAAGCACGGACACGCUCGGUAACCUUCCGUGUCGUGUCGGACACGUGUCCGCGUGUCGGACACGCUCGGACACGCGGUCAACACGUGUCGGAAAUCUGACGCGUGGUCAACUUUUCUCGACACGCGAGUCGGAGCGUGUUCGAGCAAGAGGCUGGGUUUCUGGAGCGGAUCUGCAAGCGUGAAGGGAGAGUGAAUCGUUGGCGAUGGAGGGUGAAGACGAGGCGAGGGAGAGGAAGCAAGGCUGCGGAGGCGAGGCAGCAGCAGUGAGGCUGCGACGGUGAGGCCGCGACAGUGAGAGAAGGCUGGAGGAAGAGAGAACCAGGCGACCGAGAUGGCCGCGACAGAGGACCGGAGACAAGGCUACGAUCGCAAAAGAGAGAGGACCAGAAGCAAGGCAGUGAGCAGCUGCAACGAGGUGACCAAGAGAGAGUAGGGAUUGAGAGGAAGAGGAUUGUGCAAAUGGAGGAGGGAGCGGCCGUUUUCCGAGAGUUUUCAAGCUGCUCUCGAAGGGUUUCUAAAAGAUAGAAUGGGUGCCGUGCAAGGAGGAUGAGCAGUGAGCACAGAAGGAGGAGGAGGCUAUGAUUUAGUUUUCCAAGGAGGGGGUGCCGUAAAGGAGGAGUCAGAGGGGGAUGAGGCAGCUAGGUUUGGGUUUCCAAGGAGUGCAGAAAAAAAUUUAAAACUGAGGUACCGUGCAUUUGGGUUUUCAAGGAAGAGCAAGAAAAAUAAAAGUAAAAUAUGAUGGUGCCAGAAGAGCCAAAAACAAAUUAAAAUGGGAUGCUCGUCCUGGGCGGGAUGUCCCUUUUUUCUUUUCUUUUUUGGAGGGAGAGGGUGGAGGGUGAUUUUAAAAAAGAAAAAAAACGAAUAAUGUUGAAUAAUAAUAAAUUAUGAUUAUCAUGAAAAAUUAUAAAUUUAUUUAAAUAAAUUGACUAUACUCUUUAUUUUUGAAAUAAUUAUAUGUAUAUAUAAAAAUAUUUAUUUAAUAUUUAACGUGUCGGAAUUCUCUAUUUUUUUAGAAAUGACGUGUCGCGUGUCGUGUCGUGUCAUAUCGCGUGUCACGUGUCGCGUGUCGGUGCUACAUAGAUGAUAACUAAUUGGGUUUGAAGAAAUGAAAUUGUAGGCUCAGGUGGGCUAUAUAAAUGAUAUAAGUAUGUAGGAUAAAAAGAAAUACUCUUCGUCAUCCUAAAACACUUAAAUUACCACAUGAAUUCAAUGUAAUAGCACGACUUGAAGAUUGAUGUAAAUGAGAAUAAGAAAAUUUCUUUCUAUUUUCCUCAUCUCAUAAUGAUGUCUUACCUCCCAUUUGCCCCGAUGUGAGGUGGUUCUUAACAUGGAUAAUUUGAAAAGGAUUUUUCGCAAAUGUAUGGGGCUCAAAGAAAAGUUAAGCAAUUGAUCACCUAUAAUGUUUGAGAUAAAUAAAUGAAUUGCCCCUCGUCAUUUCAAUUAUCGUACAUUUUACGAGAGAACUCUUUAUCUUGUGGAUAUGAGCCUUCCUACACUCAUCUCACAAGUGUAUAAGUAGGGAACUAUUUAUAAGAUAUUUACAUUUCAUCAUCCUGACUCAUCUCAUUGAGUAUGCUCAAGCAUUUAAUGUCACUCUAUUAAAUUGUUCAUCUCGACAAAUCUCCACACUAAAUAGAUAAAAACACUAUGAAAAUUUUCUUUUCAAAAGAAUCUAGUAACUUUAAGCAUGAAUUUUUUUUUUUUUUUUUUUUUUUUGUGACCUUAAGCAUGAAAAGUUUUUGUGACUUCAAAACAAACAAUUUUUUUUAGUCAGUCAAAACAAAACAAUUUACCAUACUUCAUAAGUAUGAAAAACAUGUCCGCGAUCCGGCCACCGCCGACGAUCGGAUCGAGGAUCUCCUGGACGUCGACUUCGCUUCCGAUCCCGACUCCGGCGAUCGGCUCCGGAAGAUCGGCGGCGAGGGCGGUUGCGGCGUGGAUCUGUUCGUCGAGGAUCCGCAGCUCGCGGGCGGCGCGGAUUCGGCGUCGGAGGAGGUAAACGGGUUGGAUUUUGGGGUGAUCGAUGCGAAUGACGACGUUUGUAUGGAUAAUGUGGAUGUAGGUUUGCGUAUCGGGUUAGGGCUUGGCGCGGGUGGGGACGAGGAUGUUGGAUUUGUGGACGAGGAUUGUUGUGAAGAUGAGUUUUUUAUGGAGACCGGGGCUUCCGGGUUCGAUUCCUGCGAAGCCGGGUUGACGGUUUGCGAAAUGGAGCAGUGCUGGAGCGGUGUUCGCGAUGUCGAGUUCGAUUCCGAUUUGGAGUUGGCGGAAGCAUUGGGGGUUUGUGGAGGUUCAGAGGAUGAAUUGAGUUUGGAUCACGUGAUUGAUGAGGAUGACUAUUUCUGUGGCGUUCCUUUGUGUUGGGGUGAUCCCCUUCCGGUGGAAGCCGAUGGCGGGGAGGUCGAGGAUCUCGAUUUGGAGUGGGAGGAAGUCGAGAGUUGUGUCGAUGAUAGAGAGGUGUUGAGCUUAUUUGUUGAUCCUCUCAAUGAUGAUGGAUCCAUUUCUGUAUCUUCUACACCUAUCAUUGCAGAUGAAGGUGAAGAAGACGCGAGUGUCGAAGUGGUUGGAGAUUUUGGGAACUUGGAAUGGGAGGUUUUGUUGAAUUCAGAUAAUUUAGUGGCAACGGCAGGAUUGAAUCAUGAGCUGGAAAC
RNAcentral lists this long non-coding RNA (16458 nucleotides) under Eucalyptus grandis. Its description in RNAcentral is "long non-coding RNA (EGRA_LNC000477)". The record is from RNAcentral. Lineage: Eukaryota; Viridiplantae; Streptophyta; Magnoliopsida; Myrtales; Myrtaceae.